Molecule: non-coding RNA, 72 nt
Organism: Megalops atlanticus (tarpon)
Lineage: Eukaryota; Metazoa; Chordata; Actinopteri; Elopiformes; Megalopidae
Source: the annotation of a GenBank genome assembly
GGCCGUGUAGCGGGGUGGUAAGGAGCAGGGCUUGUAACCGCCAGGUCGCUGGUUCGAUUCCCCGCUGGGGCA